GGGAUUGAGGAAUCGCCGCCCAGCGCCUACAUGGGAUGUGCCGGCUUGCCGGCUAUGGCGAUAAAUGAUGCCGUGGAAUAGACGCAGCGGACCCGGGGGCAGUACCCGGCGGCUCCACCAUUCUCCAACCCGUUGUCGGGGCGAUGUUUGGGGCCGAACCAGAAUCGACGUGUGUUCAAAGACGAUGUUUUCGCCCGGCCUGAAUGCGCCGUAAAACCGUUCAAACACCACAAAUGCCAACGACAACGAGGCAUUCGCGAUCGCAGCGUAACUGAAGGUCUUCACCGACCAAAGGUUACACUGGCCGAAAGCGCGGCACGGGCCACGCCGGGCAACAGAAGUGGAUUCCA
RNAcentral lists this transfer-messenger RNA (350 nucleotides) under Alphaproteobacteria bacterium. It matches the Rfam family "Alphaproteobacteria transfer-messenger RNA". From Rfam's summary of the family: Bacterial tmRNA, also known as 10Sa RNA or SsrA, is named for its dual tRNA and mRNA-like properties. Its role is to liberate the mRNA from a stalled ribosome. Lineage: Bacteria; Pseudomonadati; Pseudomonadota; Alphaproteobacteria. The record is from RNAcentral.